Molecule: ribosomal RNA, 386 nt
Filed under: uncultured bacterium
Lineage: Bacteria
Description: bacterial SSU rRNA
Rfam family: Archaeal small subunit ribosomal RNA
Source: RNAcentral
UUGCGAAAACUUCACAAUGGGCGAAAGCCUGAUGAGGGGAUUCGAAGUGCAUGCAUUUUAUGCAUGCUUUUCUCUACUUUAAACGGGUAGGGGAAUAAGGGGUGGGUAAGACAGGUGCCAGCCGCCGCGGUAAUACCUGCGCCCCAAGUGGUGACCACGAUUAUUGGGCUUAGAGCGUCCGUAGCCGGGUUGCUAAGUCUCUGGUGAAAUACGGCAGAUAACUGUCGUGCGUGCUGGAGAUACUGGCAAUCUUGAGACCGGGAGACGUAUGGGGUACUUCAGGGGUAGGGGUAAAAUCCUAUAAUCCCUGAAGGACCACCAGUGGCGAAGGCGCCAUACGAGAACGGCUCUGACGGUGAGGGACGAAAGCUGGGGGAGCGACCCGG